RNAcentral lists this long non-coding RNA (31295 nucleotides) under Sorghum bicolor (sorghum). RNAcentral's name for it is "long non-coding RNA (SBIC_LNC003087)". The record is from RNAcentral. Lineage: Eukaryota; Viridiplantae; Streptophyta; Magnoliopsida; Poales; Poaceae.
CCUAAUUUGCACAUUUUAAGUUCUCUCUCAAGUCUAGACAUAACUGUUAUAAUUUAAAGCUUGCUCUAGACCUAAACUUGUGGGAUGAAAACUUGAUCUGAAAUCUAAGUUGUUAACGGAUACGAUAUGGGAAGGUUGAGCUGCUGUUUAUCUGUUUCUAGAGAUGCUAGAAUUCUGGAGAAUUUUAUCUUUGGAAAUCUUUAAAAUGUUGCAUGAUGAGUUCCUGUAUGAUGAGAGUUUAAAUUCCUACCACAGCCUUAUAUACAUGCUUGCUAGACUUCGAGCCACACAUUUACUUUUUACUGCUUAUGAGCAUUGAGUGUGGUCAAGCUGUGUAGACCCUUAGGAGCUUGUCAUGUGGUUAAAUCAAGAUUCACUUGCACGUUCACUCACACAUGCUACUUCUACUCCGGAAGUACCAUCCACAUAUAUCCAUACAUUUCCAUCUUCAGAAUCACCCAAAAAUAUUCUACUCCUAAUCCGGCAGAGAAUAGCCAAAAAUAAUUUUGUUCUUCCUUGUGUAAUAAAUGUCUCAAGAUCAAUAAAGAGUAUUAUUAUUAUGUCUUGUGUGUCUCUACUUUAUUUUUGUGCAAGAAAGCAGAAAACAAGUAUGGCGGAGAUCCCUCGACAUGCUAAACACACUCCGACUACACCAAUCCACGAUUCAGGUACACACUCUGCACACUUUACUUUACACAUAUAUAUAUUGUAGAUUAUGCAGAAUAUUGUUCCCGACAUGAUAAAAUAAAAAGAUUAAAAUAUUUCUAAUCAUGAUUAAUCUCAAUCUGUGAUAUUUCCUGAAAACUUGCAAAUUAUUAUAAAAUCAUUUUAAACCCUGUGUUACUUAAGUCAAUAUGGAAUAUGUGAUGAUAGAGUAUGAGUUUCUUAUUCUUGAUAUCAUUGUUGCUUGGAGAAUUUAUUUCAAAAUAUUCAAAAUUCUAGCUACCAACCUCAGUGUUUUAUAUGCCUGAUAAAACUGAAAAUAUUAAUUAUAAAAGCUAUUUGCUCUGUAUUGAGUUUGUUCAAAAUGAGUUAGACCCUUGUUGAGAGAUUUAUCAUGCUCCUAAGAUCAAGACAUUAUUUCAGUAAGAUUCACUCUUCCGAAGUAUUAUUGCAUUAGAGGCAUGGGCUAUGCAAAAAUAGAAGAUAUUUCGAGGAAAUAAAAAGGAGCAAGUGCUCGACAACCGCGCAGAAAAAAUGGACAAGUGUCCGGAAGUAGAAUUAGGGGUACCUCGGUAUCCACUUAAAAAAAAGAUAAAAGAAAAAAAAAUGACAGCCCAUGGUCCCUCUAAUAAGCAAUAUGCCAGCAAGAGUUGACAAAGUUUUUAAUUUCCAAAGUCUUUGAUCUAAGAGUAUGACAUUUCCCUCCUCGGAUCCCGUUUUGAUCAGGCAAUAAAUCCAAAGUAAGUAUGCUUGAGAAUUUUUGCAAAAUAAAACAGCCUCAGUGAGAUAUGUAUAAAAGAUAAUGAGUGAUCUGAGAGAACCUAUGAGGAUCAAAAAGGUAUGCUAACUUUCUUUCAAAAAUAUACAAAAACUCCAAGUGACAGGAUUGAAAAGAAAGAAUCUUUACUCUUAACCAUAUACUUCCCUGACUACAAUACACAGUGGAAUUUUUAACACCCUGCAAUUAUAAAGAGAAUGUUUUAAAUGUUUACCCCAGAUAUUAUUCUUAACCAUCCUUUUCUCGAGGACGAGUAAAAGCCUAAGUAUGGGGGUAUUUGUUGACGGUUCUUAAGUAUCAAUUUUAAUUAUCAAAUAAACAUGAGAAAGGACCAAUAUGCAACCAUCACCUAGAAUUAGGGUUUGAUCUAAUAGAAUUCCACGAGUUUUGUUGUUUAUCUAUUUCUGCAGGGGGUUAUCAGGAAAUAAGGAAGAAAGGCCCACAUGUCGGGAUUACAUAGAGAUAUCAACGCACCGCGUAAUUUUACAUCAUCUAGAAGACUCCAGAAGCCACGAGACCGAAGCGGAAGCGAAGCUGGGCCAGGCCCAGGGCGCCCGCCCUGGUAGCCUGGGCGCCCGCCCCCUGUUGGAGCCAAUUCAGGACUCCUUCGCUCGGGAUAUUCCACCGACCUAUUGGAUCAAGAAAAACAUAGUACCACCUCGCCUAUUGACCCAAAAACGCAUAGAAGGGGAGGACUAUAUAAGCAAGGCCCCCCUGGCCCCUGGAAGACAUGAAGAAAUUAUCAUAGAGACUGAGGGGUGCCCUCGAAGGAAAACCUCUUCUCUAAUUAAUAUUUCUUUUUAGGCUUAGCAAUCAAUGUAAGGUAGAAAUAGAUCUUCUAGUUUCUACUAGAUUGAGAGAGAUAGAGUGGAGGUGUAGAGUGGAGGAAGCCCGGCCUGUCGGUGUCUACUCCAAGCUUGUACCUGCGGGAUCAAGUUCUCCUAACCCGAAGCUUGCUCCUAGGAUUCUUCAGUAAUUCGACUUCUAAAUUCUAGUAAGUUAUUGUUUUAUUGUUCUUAUGGUUUAUGAGUUUACUUUAAUCUCUUCGCGUAGAGUUUAGAGUAAUCAUUGCUGGCGUAAACAUGGUGUUUAGGCUGGGGUACUCAUAGAUAUUCCCUGACUAGCUAGACCGUGGUAGUAGUGAGGAACGUGACAUUUCCGAGCUACCUUUGUAGAUAACAUCUCGUUAGCAGGAAGGAUAGGGUUUAUAGGUGCGGGUUGAACAUCCUUUGUGGUGUCUAGAUUCCGUUAGCCUCCCCAUUAGAAUAGUAGAUCAUCCUUACCAAGGUUAGAAGGAGACUACGGUUGCAGUCUUCUCUAUUUAUCACUCACAUCGAAAGACAUUCUUUGUGCCUAAAGGGAUAGUAGCAAUAGAUUUGGUUAGUCAGAUGCACCCUUUCUCCCAGUGGUAAAAAUAUAAAUACGAUACUCUGGAAAACCUCCCGGGUGAAAUGCUCACCGAUAUCCGUGCGCUUGCGGAUCAUUUCCUUAUUGCGUUACCAAAUAUCAACAAGCAUUUGGAUCCUUUUCCAUGAUUAAUUGAUGGUUAAUUGUGAGCAUUAAGGACCGUCAACAACAACCAACACCCAAAAUUAGGGUUUCAUCUGACAUAAUUACACGAGUUUUGGUGUUUGUCUAUUUUUGUAGGGGGUUAUUAUGAAAUAUGGAGGAAAGGCCCACACGUCGGGUUUACAUAGAGAUAUUAAUGUGUGCGCCAAUUUUCUAUCAUCUAGAAGACUCCAGAAGCCAUGGGAACGAACGGGAGGCCGAGCGGGCCCGGGGGCUGGGCGCCCGCCCUCCACCCUUGGGCGCCCGCCCUGCCCUGGUGACCAAUCAGGGCAGGUCUCGCGGAUCGUGCUCCACUACCUUUGAGGAUCAAGGAAAACCGUGCGAUUAAGGUCGUUUUGAUCUGACGGCCCACGUUCAUUUGGAAGGGCAAUAUAAGCAGGCCCCCCUGGCCCCUGGAGAACAUAUCUCUUCUACAGAAUCAAAGCUAGGGUUUCAAUUAUUCAUCCAAGUAGAGAUGAUCCCUCUAGUUCAUCAAGUUCUAGUUCUAGUUCAUAUAGUUCUAGUUCUAGUUAGUUCUAGUUGUAAUCUAGAAAAUAGGGGGAGAGAAGAGGAGAGCGGAGGAGGAGCCAGAUCUGUUGGAUCUUCCUCAAUAUUGUACUUCUGCAGCAACUGGUUCGUUAUUCAUCGUUCUCCAAGUUCUUCAAUUCAUAAUUCCUGAGUUCUUUUAUUAUUUUUAUUUGCAUUCAAGUUUUUUAUUGGAUUCCCGCUUGCAUCAAGUGCUGUAGUCUUUAUAACGUUAGAGUAGUAAUUAAUAGAUUAGACAUGGUGUUUAGUCUUGCAAUUACCUGGAAUUGCACCUAAUCCUGCGAAUUGUUGUGGUAGCCGUAGAGUAGUGACAGCCCUAACGGUCGACGUAUUCCACCUCGUUCGGAUCGGUGUUUGUAGGACCAUAGUCAGAGCUUCCUAGCCCCCUUCUCAUCUCUUUCUGUGAUUAGUGUUCUGAUGUCCCAAAAUAAAUAAUCUUUGAAGUAAUUCUUGAUUCUUAGAUCAACUAGAGAACUCUCAGGAAACUUCCUCUCUUCCCACCAAAAAUAAUUAUAUAGUUAUCCUUGGGUGAUCUUGAUUCUUAAUUAAUACACUCACGUUCCCUGUGGAAAAUCGAUACUCUGGAAUACUCCCGUGUGAAAGCUACAUCAGUAUCCAUGCGCUUGCGGAUUUUUCUGUUUGCGUUUAAAAUAGCCAAUAGACAUGAUCUAGAGGUAAGUAUAUAUCAUGCUUUAAAUAUCGAUGCCUGCUCGUUUACUUUAUUAUGCUAGCUAUACCUAAUCAAUGACCGUCUUAUUGGGCAGGGCUUGGGCUGGGCUACAACAAAGAUAUCGUACAGAUAUGAAUGUGCCACUUCCCCCUCCUGUUCUACUCCCUUGGGUGCCCACGCAGCCGUUUAGAACGAAUCUAUGUGGAUACUACGUUUGUGAAUUUAUGUGGUGCACCCUAUUUAAACCUGCUCAAAGUGUUCUAAAAGUAAGUAACAUGCAUGUGUAUACAGUAAAUUCAUAUCUUAUUUAUUUGUUGGAACUAAAUAGAUUUUAUGUAUAUUAAUAUCUUUUUUAACUAAUGCAAAUGGAAGGAGUGGAAUAUGAAAGGUAAAGUGUUUGAGUACACAUUACUCCUUAUAGUCCAGGACGAUCGCCGAAUUUAUCAACGAUCAUGUCAUUGUGGAAGACGACGAGUUCCACUUAUACCCAUAGGGCUUCAAGCCCAUUCCAAACAAGGACGAACACUUGUAUGAGCUUUGAGUGGGCGGGCAAACAUUAUGUAAUCAUUAACCGGCGACAGCACACUUGAUUAUUACUUGUACAUAAUAUUAUUAUUGUAAAUGUAAUGUGUUUGUACGUAUGUGUAUAGCUAUAUAAUAUAUAUAUAUAUAUUACGGAUAAUAUAUAUGUGUAGUUUCAUACUUUAUUUGUGUGCAAUAAUGACGCUCUCGUAUAGGUGCAACGUAUAUGGAUAAUAGUAGCGUAUAUGAAUAAAUUGGUGAACAUAUACAAUUGAAAACCAAAAUCAAUAAUGAAAUGAAAAUGAAAAAGAAUAAGAAAAAGGAAAAAACCCUUUAAUCCUGGUUGGUAAUACCAACCGGGACUAAAAGGGGUGGCGCCACGUCACUGCCUGGCACCCCCUCUAGUCCCGGUUGGUGUUACCAACCGGGACUAAAAGUCCCCCUUUAGUCCCGGGCCGGCGAGCCGGUACUAAAGGUGGGACUUUUGGUCCCGACCCCUUAGUCCCGUCUCGCCACCCGGGACUAAAGGUGGUUUUCGACCGAGACAAAAGGUCGGUCCUGUACCAGUGCUCGCUACUAUUGGAACCGAAAGCAGCUUGGUGACGGGACCCUGGUGGGGAUCGAGGCAGUGAUUCCUACCAGUGGAGGUGACCCCGCCUAGGGUGGCUGGGUGUACGAGUCCUGAGGCAGCACACCUUUCUAGGGUGCCAGCAGGGCUGCUUAUGCAGUUCUAAGGGAUAUCAUGGAGCGGUUUCCGCAAGAGCUAGCCCACGUCUUCGCUGGGGUGUUUCCCUGGGGUGACCCCUACACUUUGGUGUGGGAUCAGUCCGAGGUGAAUGCUCUAGAGUGGAGUGCGGAUGAGGAUCAGCACGGUGACAGUACAACUAUGAGUGCUAUGUUUGCCAUGAUGAAGACCUAUGGGGGUCUAGAGCGCUGUUUGGGACGCUUGUCUGGGUCUCUACUGACAAUUCAGGAUGAGAAGCGCCAGCUGUGGCAUGAGUUUGAUAGUGAGGUUGAGAGGCUAUAGGCAGAGUUGGCCCCUGUGACUCUAGAGAGGGACCAGGUAGUCCAGCAGAAUAGUGUGUUGAGUCAGGAUCUGCUAGCAGUGAGAGAGCAGAGGGGCAGGGUGACCAUAGCUCAUAGGAACAGCAAGCGCAUGCUAGUUCAUGUGCUUGGUUAGACGAAUGAAGCCUGGCAUGAGGAGGACACCCUGAGGGCCCAACAGCUGGAGCUUGAGCAGCAGCUAGCUAAUGCUGAGGAGUACAAUGAGAACCUGCAUGAGGAGAUCCACCAGCUGCAUAACCAGCUCCACCCUCACCACCUACCUGGAGCAGCUGAGUUAGACUUUGAGGAUGAGAUGGAUGAGGAUCCAGAGAUGGAGGCAGCCGCUAGUGGAGAUGAGGACGAGGAUGGAUCCAGCAUGGACAGCGACCAUAGCGAGUAGAUGCUAGGGCUCUAGAGCUAGUCCUUCUUCUUUUGCUGUUGUUGUUGCAUGGCAUGUGUUUGUAAUCUAUUGGAUCUGGGAUGUGUAAGACUUUAUGUGUUGAGUUGUGUUGACACUGAAAGUCCACUGUAUGUAUGCUGGCAAUUUUGGAUGUAUGCGAACCCUGUUGGCUAAAUGUUAAGUAAUCAGUUAGUGAUGUUGUGUGUGGAUGAUGAAUUAUUGUGCCUCUGUUUAUUGUGUGGAUUUAUUCUCAUCAGUAAAUUCAGUGUGGCAUGAUUUUGCAUAUGUCUACCGGUUGAUGGCAACUCCUAAUGACUGCUUAUUGUUGACGCAUGCAGAUGGUGCAAACGCGUGGCGGGGGUAACCGCAACCCUGGUGCUGGAGAAGGUUCCUCCGAAGGUGGGGCUCGCAUAAAUGAGGAAAGAGCACCAUCACCGCCACCACCACCGCCUCCUCCGUACACUGCGAUUUGUUUUUCACGCAGUUUCUAGGGAGCCAAUGAAACAUGGAGCAAAUGCAGCGAAACAUGGAAGCUGCCCUACGCAACAUCACUGACAACACCUGCCGUGGGGAUAACCAGGGAGGUCACGAAGUGAACCAGUAUAACUCUUUCAAGGACUUUAUGGACACAAAACCACCGGUCUUUAAAGAGGCCAUGGAACCGCUUGAGGCGGAUGACUGGAUUAACACCAUAGAGCAGAAGUUCCGUCUCCUUUAGCUGACCAAAGAGCUCAAGGUAGAGUACGCAGCGCAUCACUUGCACGGACCUGCUAGGAUAUGGUGGUCCCAUCAUCGUACCACCUAUCCAGAGGGGACCCCGAUCACCUGGAACCGCUUCACCACCACUUUUUGGGGAAAUUAUAUUCCUCUGAGUGUGGUGGAUUUGAAGAUUGGAGAAUUCAUGAAGCUGUCUCAAGGAACCAAGUCUAUGAAAGAGUAUCUACACGCUUUCAACAAUCUUGCUCGAUACGCUCUAGAGUUUGUUAACAAAGACGCCAAGAAGAUUGCUAGCUUCCAGAGAGGCUUGAGCCCAAAGAUGCUGAAGACUACGGGUAUAGGGACCCGAGCUACUUUUAGUGCCUACAUCAGCGACUGUCUUACCCAAGAGAACAAUAACAAUAACUAUAGUGCAUCCAAGUCACGUAAGAGGGCUUUUGAAGCUGGAUCGUCUCAGUCUAGGGCACCAGUGGCAGGACGUCAGCAGAAUCGUCGUCCUGCCCAAGGUGCUAGGUUCCGACCUCCAUAGAAAAUAAAUACAGGACAUCCCACUCAGGAGAAGCCGUACAAGGUAGCAGUGACCCCAGCAAAGCCAUGGGCGAAUCAAGCUGCAGCACCAAGUGCCAACACCAUGACCAAGGCACCGUGCUACAACUGCCACAAGAUGUGGCACUUUGCUAAAGAAUGUCCCUACCCCAAGAAGCAGCAGACAACCUAUCCAGCCCGUCUACACUACACCUCGAUAGAGGAGAUCCCAGAAGGAGAACCGGUUACAUCUGGUAUGUUCCCUAUCAACCAACAUCUUGCAAUUGUUUUGUUUGAUUCUGGAUGAUCGCAUUCAUUUAUGAGUCAAGCAUUUGCACAAAAGCAUGAUCAACUAGUUACCGAGUUGGGUUGUGGUUAUCGCAUCAGUUUACCUGGGGCUAAUGUGUUGACCAACAAAGUAGUAACAUGGGCUACCUUGCAUAUCAGUGGCCGAAUGUUUCGCGUAAACCUUGUAGUCAUGCUAGGGUUAGUUUUGGACGUUAUCAUUGGUAUGAAUAAGAUGACAGACUGGGGUGCAAUCAUAGAUGUAGGUCAGAGGACUCUCUCCCUUAAGGAUCCAUAGGGGGCGUGUUGGGUAUUUUAAACGCAAACAGAAAAAUCCGCAAGCGCACGGAUACCGAUGUAGCCUUCACCCGGGAGUAUUCCAGAGUAUCGAUUUUCCACAGGGAAUGUGAGUGUACUAAUUAAGAAUCAAGAUCGCCCAAGGAUAACUAUAUGAUUAUUUUUUUUGUGGGAAGAGAGGAAGUUUCCUGAGAGUUCCCUAGUUGAUCUAAGAAUCAAGAUUUACUUCAAGAUUAUCUAUAUCGGGACAUCAGAACACUAACCACAGAAAGAGAUGAGAAGGGGGCUAGGAAGCUCCGACUACGGUCCUACAAACACCGAUCCGAAUGUGGUGGAAUACGUCGACCGUUAGGGCUGUCACUACCCUAAGGCUACCACAACAAUCCGCAGGCUUGGGUGCAAUUCCAGGUAAUCGCAAGACUAAACACCACGUCUAAUCUAUUAAUUACUACUCUAGCGUUAUAAAGACUAGAGCACUUGAUGCAAGCGGGAAUCCAAUAAAUAACUUGAAUGUAAAUAAAAGUAAUUAAGGAACUCAGGAAUUAUGAAUUGAAGAACCUGGAGAACAAUGAAGAACGAACCAGAUGCUGCAAAAGUAUAAUAUUGAGGAAAAUCCGACAGACCCGACUCCUCCUCCACUCUCCUCUUCUCUCUCCCUAUUUUCUAGAUUACAACUAGAACUAACUAGAACUAGAACUAGAGGAACUAGAACUAGAACUAGAUGAACUAGAACUAGAUCUAGAUGAACUAGAGGUAGAACUAGAAGAACUAGAGGGAUCCUCUCUACUUGGAUGAAGAAUUGAAACCCUAGCUUUGAUUCUGUAGAAGAGGUAUGAUCUCCAGGGGCCAGGGGGUCUGGUUUUAUAGUCCCUUCAAGUGAAUCUGGGUCGUCGGAUCAAACCGACAUUGAUCGUGUGGUUCUCCUUGAUCCUUUAGGUCGGUGGAGCAUAAUCCGCGAAACGUGUCCUGAUUGGGCACUGUAGCUGGGCGGGCGCCCAGGAGAGUUGGGUGGGCGCCCUGCCUCCGAGCCCGAUUUCCUUCCCGUUCGUUCCCGUGGCUUCUGGAGUCUUCUAGAUGAUAGAAAAUUGCGCGACAUGUUAAUAUCUCUAUGUAAACCCGACGUGUGGGCCUUUCUUCCGUAUUUUCUGAUAACCCCCUGCAGAAAUAGACAAACACCAAAACUCAUGGAAUUCUGUCAGAUAAAACCCUAAGUCUAGGUGUUGGUUGCAUUUGGAUCCUUUUCCAUGAUUAGUUGAUGCUUAAAUGUGAGCAUUAAGGACCGUCAACAAGCUCCCCCAAGCUUAACCUUUGCUCGUCCCUGAGCAAAGAUGAACUCAAGAGUUUCUGCAGUGGUUUCAUGCCUUAAAGGUAAAUGCGUUCAAUCAAGAUCUCAUCUCUAGGUUAGGGUAAACUGUUAAGAUUUAAACUUACUCAUUUUACCUUCCACCAUGGGGCUUGCAACCGUCACUUGUGCCUUGAGCAGUUAAAAGAUAGAACGGUCUAGUCAAGCGCCAUGUCUCUUGUUCUUGAUCAACUAUAGCUCUGGAGUUUUUGCAGAUUUUCAAAUAAAAAUCAAAGAUUCCUUGUAUGACUCUCUCUAGUCUCUCUUUUGUGGUAUUUCUGGAUCCUUACCAAGGCAGUGAUGGUGUAUGCCUUCUCUCAAAGUAUGUGGUAUUUUUGGUAUGAGGCAUAGUGGCAUUGCCUUCUCUCUCACCCUACUCUAAUAAGGUUUUGAUAUCUGGAGCUCAUAGGUGGGAGACAGCUAAUACAUACUUACAAGACAUUUAUUGCAUAGUCAAACCAUGGAUCCAGAAGAACAAGUCAAUAAGUCAAAUCAAGAUGUGCAUGUGUGGCGAAUGAAUGGUGUAUGAUGAUGAUGGUGAUAACAAUGGUGAAAAUCUAAUCCUACUUGUGCUCUUUUGAGUGGAUACAUGCCUUUCUUGCUCUUUUGAAACUUUUUGAGGAGAAUGAGAUGCUCUAUAUUUUCUUUUUAUUUUCUCUCAGGUGGGUAUCUUGUACCCCUAAUUCUACUGUCGGACACUUUUCCAUUUUUACCUCUCGUCUCACUUUUUUUUUUCUUUCGAGGUUCCGGGCACUUGCCCCUUUUUAUUUCCUCGUAUUUAUUUUUUUCUCUCUCCUUUUUAGAGCACUCAUCUCCUGAAAUAAUAUAGCAAGUGGUAGUAACCAAGAUAACUUGAGCAUUUAUUUCAAAGGGGAAAACAUAAAUGUUUUUGGCUAUUCUCUCCCGGAUUAGGAGUAGAAUAUUUUUAGGUGAUUUUGGAGAUGAAAAUGGGUGGAUAUAUGUGGAUGCGUACUUCCGAAGUAGAAGUAGCAUGUAUGAGUGAACGUGCAAGUGAAUCUUGAUUUAACCACAUGACAAGCUCCUAAGGGUCUACACAGCUUGACCACACUCAAUGCUCAUAAGUAGUAGAAAGUAAAUGUGUGGCUCAUAGUCUAGCAAGCAUGUAUAUAUGGCUGUGGUAGGAUUUUAAACUCUCAUCAUACAGGAACUCAUCAUGCAACAUUUUAAAGAUUUUUAAAGAUAAAAUUCUCCAGAAUUCUAGCAUCUCUAGGAACAGAUAAACAGCAGCUCAACCUUACCAUAUCAUAUCCGUUAACGACUUAGACUUUAGAUCAAGUACUCUUCUCACAAUUUCAGGUUUAGAGCAAAUCUUAAUUAAUAACAGUCAUGCCUAAACAUGAGAGAGAUUUCAAUUUUAAGGACUAGUCAUGGUAGAGCAACUAUUCAUCAUUUCCAUUUGAGAGCUUAUCAUGAGGGUUCAUGGCAAACUUUAUUUAUUUAUUUAUUUAGCAAACUAAGCAAAGAUAUAUAUAUAAGCACAAAAUCUUUAUUUGGGUUUAUAUGAUUAUGCAUCUUUUUAUUAUUAGAGUAAAGUAUAAACGUGAGUAGAAUACUUAGCUGGAUAAAUGGGGGUGCUCUCCCCCAAGCUGGAUUUUGACGUAAUUUCUUCUCAUGUAGCUAGCAGGUGGCUGAGGUGUAUUUGAAUGUCGGUAGCACCCUGACAGCGAUUAGGAUGUCCUCCGUCUGCUAGUCUUCUUUGAUCCUUGAAUUCUGUGGAGCUCAAAUAGACAACAAAGCUUUGUGGAACUAGUUAAGUGUUAGCAUAAAUAUCUAGCCUUUAUCAUGUUGAGCCUCCUCAAUAAAUGUUACUCUCUUUAGUAGGAUUACAAUCUUAUUUAUAUUUUCAUUUUUAUAGGAUAGGAAUAUAUAUUUAUUUUUACGCCACCACAGUGAAUGUACUUAUGGGUUUUAUGGCAUGAGCAUCUCACAUGGGGCUUACUAUUUUUAUUUUUAUUUUCUUUUCAAGAUGAUAUGAACCUGAUUAACUAAAAUAAUUGAAAGGAAAAAGAUAACUACCAAGUUUACCUCUUGGCAAGGCGUUCGGUGUUUUUAAGUCCUCCGAACGGGACUCUCUAUUUUCUCAGUUGUCCAAGAAUUCGCUGGAUGGCGUAGUCGGUGGUUCCGGCGGCGCGUACUCUUCAUGUAUAACUAUCUUCUUUCUCCACACCUACCUUGGUGCACUUCUCCUUCGUACUCUGCCCAUCCGUCCUUUAUGAUUUUCCUCCUCUGGUUACGGUUGCGUCGUCUUCUUCUUGUCCUGACCUGCUUAGAGUCUUCAACUAUAUAGUUAGGGUCAGUAAAAUAGCGGCGUACCUUCUCAGAGGGGAAAUGCAUGUGGACUUCUCCAGUUCCAAUGUAGAUGAUCGCUUUAACGGUACUGAGGAACGGUCUUCCAAUGGUGAUGGGUGGACUGUACUCGUCUUCUCCCAUGUCAAUAACCUUAAAAUCAUCUAGAGGUGAAUGUAUGUUGGUUGUAGGGGCAUGGUUCCAUGCAGGAGCUCAUAAGUGACUGCGGCCAUUAUGUUGACGUUAGAUCCGGUGUCGUAGUGUCUUCUGAAAAGAAUAUCCGUUGAUUGUGCAUCGAUGCUUGGAACACCAGGGUCGUCCUUCUUGAUCAAGAAAGGUGACUUGAGUUGACGAUCUUAACCUCCUUGAGCUGCAGUGACCAUCUUAGCUGACUCGGUACACAUUUGCUUGUUCCUGUUCCUCCUAUUGGUCCUUCCUUGGUUCAUGUCAGGAUUGCUCUAAGAUUUGUGUAGUCUUUUUCUUGAAGAAAAACGUCUCUUUCUUCCCCUUGAUGUAGAAACUCAUCUUGGCAGCACUAGCAUAGAUGACAGCUCCCGAGGUGUUCAGGAAUGGCCUCCCUAGGAUUGGUGCCCUCUCAUCAGUACCAGUCUCUAUCACCACGAAGUCUGCUGGGGCGUACAAGGUACCAACUCGGAUGAAGAGGUUGUUCAAUGUUCUCUUUGGGAAACUUAGCGUACGAUCUGCAAGCUGCAAACACAUGGUUGUUUCUAGGAAAGGAUGUGUAAAGAAUUUUUCAUAGAGUACCCUGGGCAUAAUGUUGACACUGGAGCCAAAGUCAUAGAGUGCUUCUAGGAAGUCCACCAUACCGAUGCAGAUCGGGAUGACGGGGCGUCCUGGAUUGUCUCUCUUGACCGGCAGAAGGUCAGUAAUUACUUCUACAACGGGGUUACUCCAGUAGUUACGUCCUCAAGCAUCCUAGGGCAGUGAUUGCCUGAGUGUCCACUAUCUCUAGUGUGUUUGUGCUCGUAGAUCUAGGUUCAUCACUUGGUGGAGUCUGGGAGUUGUAAAAGUCCUUCAUAUUUUACUCGAAGUGUACCUGCUCAUAGACAAGGCAGAGAUCAAGUGCAUGGGCCCUGUUGGUGGAACACACCAACAGAACCAAAAGUGUAUUUGUUCUUCUCUAACCUUAAGCAUAGUGAGCAAGACAAAGUUGAUGGAUAAUAAGAUCAUGAGUGUAACAUUUAAAACAUUUGUCAGAUCAAAUCGCUCAACCUAAUGGAAAGAUAAUCUAUCUAUACUUAUGUUUUAUAUAUAUAUAUAUCUUCCAAAGAUUGAGUGUGCAACAUUUUAGUUCAUAUGAUUAGGAUUGUGGAAUCACAAAGGUGGAAGGACUAAACAUGUUGAAUCGAUUGGGUUGGUUAAUCUAGAGUUUUAAAUCAUACAUGUUUGUCUCUUUUAUUCAUGUGAACGCCAUAACCAAGGAGAAGCUUAUAAAAGUGAUAGUCAAGUACCUUAAGAUGUAACCUUACUUGAAGAGUGAUGGUACAGUAUGACCUUGUGGAAGCUUUCCUUUCUUAGCGGUUGUGCAUCGUGUUUGUAGCACCCUCCAUGGAUCAUCUCUUAUGAGCUAUGCCUUCCUUGUGUAAAUUGUUAAACUUUAUGUGUCUCUCUCUUUGUCUCCAAUGUGAGUUUGUCUCAGGACUUCCCAGGUCGAUAUUGAAAGUUUUCCUGCAGGGGUUAGUUCAACAAAAUAUCCAAUAUCUACUAUAGCAUACUAUCGACUCAGAUCAACCUAGACACCAUGUCUAAUUUGAUUUAGGAGGGAAUUUUAACCUAAGCACCAUGCUUAAUUUAAAAUCCUUUGGAAGUAAGAUCAUCAUUCCUAAACUAAGCACCAUGCUCAAUUAAGAGAUAAAUGAAACUACUCCAAACCUAGACAUAUACUAGAGCAAAUAAAGGUAGCAUGAAAGCAUUUAUAGAGAUCUAGUCAAGUGGAGAUGAAGUAGUGUGAUUAGUAUUUAACAAAUUCAGCAUGUCUCAAAGGUAGGGACAACCAACAUAGCAACAUGGCAAAGGAUGAUUUUAUGUAAAGUACUCCCCCAAGCUUGAAUUUUCCAAAAUUCAAGUUUGGAUGAAUUUAAUUCAAUGUUGUAUGAUGGUUGGUGGACAUACCUUGUGCUUGUCAUUCAUCCGAUCUUCUUGCUCCAAUCCUGAAAAGGUUAGUGACAAGAAUACCCGAAGGAAUAUUUUUACAAUUAUCCUUAUAUGCUCAACACACAAGGUAAUGUUGCAAAUAAUUAAAAGCUCAUGUUACAAUCUGAUCAGUGCUUGUUUUAGGACACUAAGCUUGUCCUUGGGAAACCAUCAAUUUAUGUCAGCGAAGUGGUUUCCCCUCCAACGCUGACCUAUAUCAAGAUCAACUCAACGAGAUCUGCAAUAUUUAUUAUAGACAUAUGCAUCGACAACCGCCCUUUUAAAGUUUUUAUAAAUAGAAAGGAUGAGGGGGUUGGAGAAACCAAUGGAAGAUGUUGCAUAUGAGCAUGGAGCAAAUGAAGUGGCUAUGAAAUAAAUUCCAUGCUCAUUAAUGCUUAGAGUGAAAUCCAUUUGGUGUGGUGACAAUGGUAAGGUGAGUGUGGUAAAAAGGAAAAGAAAAAGGAUACACGGACGACUUGGUUCGAAACUAGCACAGCUACCGUUUCCCGGCAACGGCGCAAGAAAGCUUGUUGGGUAUUUUAAACGCAAACAGAAAAAUCCGCAAGCACACGGAUACCGAUGUAGCCUUCACCCGGGAGUAUUCCAGAGUAUCGAUUUUCCACAGGGAACGUGAGUGUACUAAUUAAGAAUCAAGAUCGCCCAAGGAUAACUAUAUGAUUAUUUUUUUUGUGGGAAGAGAGGAAGUUUCCUGAGAGUUCUCUAGUUGAUCUAAGAAUCAAGAUUUACUUCAAGAUUAUCUAUAUCGGGACAUCAGAACACUAACCACAGAAAGAGAUGAGAAGGGGGCUAGGAAGCUCCGACUACGGUCCUACAAACACCGAUCCGUAUUUCCUGAUAACCCCCUGCAGAAAUAGACAAACACCAAAACUCAUGGAAUUCUGUCAGAUAAAACCCUAAGUCUAGGUGUUGGUUGCAUUUGGAUCCUUUUCCAUGAUUAGUUGAUGCUUAAAUGUGAGCAUUAAGGACCGUCAACAGGGAGGGCACGCUUUAGGUCAGAUUACCCUGCUGAUUUGACUUUGCCAGUCUUUCUUGUGUUGUGCAAGUGAUUCUGUUAGAGCACAUACCUAUGGUCUGUGAGUUUCCUGAUGUUUUUCUAGAAGAGUUGCCAGGACUUCCCCCAGAUAGGGAAGUGGAGUUUGCUAUAGAGUUGAUACCAGGUACAACACCAAUCUCGAGAAGACCGUACCGGAUGCCACCAAAUGAGCUCGAUGAAUUGAAAACUCAAUUGAAGGAGUUGCUAGACAAAGGUUUCAUCCAACCGAGUUCGUCUGAAUGGGGUUUGUCCGGCACUAUUUGUGAAAAAGAAGGACCAAUCCUUGCGCAUGUGCAUGGACUACCGUCCACUCAAUGCGGUGAUGAUCAAGAAUAAGUAUCCCUUGCCAUGGAUUGAUAUCCUGUUCGAUAAAUUGUCAAAGGCAAAAGUGUUCUCCAAGAUAGAUUUGAGGUCUGGGUAUCACCAGAUCAAGAUCCGCCCGCAAGAUAUACCAAAGACUACUUUUUCCACCAGAUACAGAUUGUAUGAGUAUAUUGUCAUGUCCUUUGGAUUGACGAAUGCUCCUGCAUACUUUAUGUAUGUGAUGAACUCAGUCUUUAUGCCAGAGUUAGACAAGUUUGUUGUAGUGUUCAUCGAUGACAUUCUGGUUUAUUUAGAGAAUGAGCAAGAUCAUGCUGAGCAUCUAAGGGUCAUGCUGACACUACUGCGAGAACAUCAGUUGUAUGCGAAGUUCAGCAAGUGUGAGUUCUGGCUUAAGAAAGUUCCAUUCCUAGGGAACAUUCUGUCGGAAGAAGGGAUCGUUGUGGAUCCAUCAAAAGUACACGAAGUUAUGGACUGGAAGGGACCUACUUCUGUCUCAGAAGUUCAAAGCUUUCUUGGGUUAGCCGGGUAUUAUCGUCGUUUCAUCCCCGACUUCUCCAAGAUUGCUAAGCCAAUGGCCAGUUUGCUACACAAGGAUCAUAAUUUCACCUUGAUAGAGGGGUGUGAAGUAGCCUUCAACACCUUGCGAAAGCUACUGACCACUACUCCUGUUCUAGCACACCGAACAUUGAGAAGCCUUUUGAUGUGUUUUGUGACGCAUAGAAAAGUGGUUUGGGAUGUGUGCUGAUGCAUGAAGGCAGAGUUAUAGCUUAUGCUUCACGACAGUUGAGAAAACAUGAAGUCAAUUAUGCAACCCACGACCUUGAACUAGCAGUUGUUGUACACGGUCUAAAGAUCUGGAGGCAUUAUGUGCCUAGGUGUUAAUGUCAUAUCUACACAGAUCAUAAAAGCCUUAAGUACAUCUUUACUCAAUCUGAGUUGAAUAUGAGGCAACAAAGAUGGUUAGAGCUGAUCAAGGACUAUGAUCUUGAGGUCCACUACCACCCAGGCAAGGCUAAUGUGGUAGUGGAUGCCUUAAGUCGUAAACCACACUAUCAAGUGGUCCAACCUUUGUUUGAAGAUGGUUUCAAUCUAAUGCAUCCUGAUGUUCUAUGUCAUAUACAGCUCAGUUGUUCGCUUGAGAGUCAAGUUAUCGAGGGCCAGAAGUCAGAUAAGGGCAUUUCUCACAUCAAAGAAAAGAUCAAAGAUGACCCCAAAACUCAGUUUCGAGUGGAUCAGAGAGGGGAACUUUGGUUCCAACAUCGGUUAGUGGUUCCGAAGAAUCGAGACCUAAAGAUUCGAAUCAUGGAUGAAGCACAUCUUUCAAAGCUUUCUAUCCAUCCCAGGAGUAGUAAAAUGUAUCAAGAUCUGAAGUCUCACUUUUGGUGCACCAAAAUGAAGAAAGAAAUAGCAGCAUAUGUGGACCGAUGUGACAUGUGUUGCCAAGUCAAAGCUAUACACAUGAAACUCGCAGGGUUGCUGCAACCGCUGUCAGUCCCAGAGUGGAAGUGGGAAGAGGUCAGUAUGGACUUCAUCAUAGGACUACCGACUACGCGAAAAGGGAAUGACUCGAUUUGGGUAAUAAUGGAUCGGUUGACCAAAUCGGCUCAUUUCAUCCCAGUUAAGACUCGCUAUAGACCUCCGAGUAUGUUGACUUAUACAUGGCUGAGAUCGUCAAGUUGCAUGGUAUCCCCAAGACCAUUGUUGACAGUCCUUAAGUACUAAAUUUAACCAUCAAAUAAACAUAGAAAAAGAUCAAUAUGCACCAAACAUCCAGAAUUAGGGUUUUAUCUGACAGAAUUCCACGAGAUUUGGUGUUUAUCUAUUUCUGCAGGGGGAUAUCAGAAAAUAUGGAGAGAAGGCCCACAUGUCAUGUUUACAACGAGAUAAUUACGUGCUGUGCAAUUUUCCUCAAUCUAGAAGAGUCCAGAAGCCACGGGAACGAACGGGAGACCGGACGGGCUCGGGGGCAGGGCGCCUGCCCUCCCCCCUUGGGCGCCCUCCCAGGUCUCGGGGCCAAUCCAAACCAAACUCUUGGAUUGUGCUCCACCGACCUAAAGGAUCAAGGAAAACCGUGUGAUCAAUGUCGGUUUGAUCCGACGGCCCAAAUUCACUAAAAUGGACUAUAUAACCAAGGCCUCUCCACCCCUGGAGAAGAGAAGAGAAGAGGAGAAAUCAUUAUCAGAGGUAGCCAUCAAAGUUGGGGUUUAGAGCUUCUCUCCCACAGAGAAUUAGAAUUAGCUACUCCCUAAUCCUUCAAGUUUAGAGGUUUGAUUAGAUAGCAAUUAGAGAAGUAGAGCACUACACUCUAGAUUCUGAUCUUCGGUAAUAAAGAUUGGUAUUAUUCAUAUCUUUCUCUAAUACUUUGUUCCAAUUACAGUAUGUCUCUAUUUAUUAUGUUCUUAGUUUGCUCUAGUUCUAUAUUUGAUAUAGUUAUGAUUGAUAAUGAGUUUAUGUAUAAGUUUGCAAAGUGCUUAGCUCUUAACUCGAGGGAGUUAAGUGGUAGAUCACAUGUGGGCGUGGUGCUUAGAUGUUAUUUACCUGCAAAUGUAUCCUAUUGGCCGGAUUGUGUGGUAGUUCGCGAUAGUGACAGCUUCGUUGAUUCUUAAAUAGUCCACCCUCCGUCGAUAGGACAUGCAGAAUUUGUAUUGCGAAGUCUUACGAUGUUCUGAUUUACUUUAGCAAUGUUCCGUGUACAUGAAUGAAGAGUCUUUUAUGCUAUACAUGAUCUUGUAGAUAACUAGAGUAGAUUGUGGCUUAAUAGAUAGUAGAUAUCUUAGAAUCCAUUCUCUAGCUAAUCCGACGUCACCUACAUAUAUGAGGAGUAGUCUAUUUUCUAAUCGCUGUGUUAUUUAUCCAUGAACUUAUAAUUCAUUAUCAUUAUCUUUAUGGUUUACCCCUGCCAAAGUAAGUGACUGUGUGAUGAGUUUCUCAUUAGUAAUCAUGUUCUUGCAAGUUUAUCUCUAGUCUAUGCCUUGAUAGAUUUAGUCCUUAUUUUAAUUUCACCCCUUGUUCACUUAAGCAAAAUUAUAAAUAACGAUACCUGGAAUACGUAUCCUGGUGAAAUGCUAUAAUGAGGUGUUUUAUCUGUGCGCUUGCAGAUAGAAUAGAUUAUUUUCUAGAGAGCCUCCAUAUUUAUAAAUACCUUUGUACACUCUGGCACCAAGCUGGGGAUGACAACCUAGUAUGUAAGUGGUGUUAGCUAGUGUCAACAAACAUUUCUGGCGCCGUUGCCGGGGAAUCAAAAGGGUAACACAUAGGAAUGGUAAGGAAAGUCAAGAAACCAGUUAAGGUUAUUCAUAUAAAAUAUUAGACUAGACUAUAGAGAAAUAAUUGCAUAAAACAGCUACUAAGUGAGAAAUCAUAACAAGGCACCUCUGCUUUGGCAGGUUCACCCUAUUGUUUUUCUAUGUUUGUAUUUUUAUACAGGGUAUAUCAGGAUUGACUUUGGUACAUUCAACUCUUCAUCAUUAGAACCAAAGCAAUCAAGAAAGAAAAAAGCUAGCUACCAAUUGCUGAAGCUAUGGCACAGAAGACCCUACAAGAAUUCUCUGCUCCAAGUCUUGAGAACAUUCCAACUGGUCCAAGAUUUGCAGUAGGAGUACCCGAGUUUGAGCUCAAGUCAAGCCUCAUCAAUUUGGUGCAAGCUACACAAUUCAGUGGAAAGGCACAUGAAGAUGCUAGUGCACACAUGCAGAAUUUUUUAGAAAUUAGAAACACAAUCCACAUCAAUGGAGUCGACAAAGACGUCAUACUGCUUCGCCUUUUUCCAUUCUCACUAGAAGGGAAAGCAAGGAAGUGGUUCUACACUCAUCAAGAUAACAUCAACAACUGGACGAAAUUGUCAGAUGCCUUACUAUUAAAGUUUUUCCCUAUAGGCAAAACAACUGCCUUAAGAGUAAAUAUUGUCAGUUUCCAACAGCAGAAGACAGAAACCAUUUCAGAAGCAUGGGAGCGUUUUCAAGGAUACAUAUCAGAUUGUCCUCACCAUGGAAUGGCCACAUGGUUACUUAUGCAGAACUUCUACCAUGGAUUAAUCCAGAAGGCUCGUGAGUGCCUAGAUGCAUCUCAUAAAGGAUCAUUCUUGGAGCUUACAAUUGGAAAAGCAGAGAUACUUUUGGAUAGGAUAGCAUAAAACCAAAGCUGGUUCCAAGAUGAAGCUCAACAAUGUCAUCAAACUGAAGAAAUACCAGAAGAAGUAAAUGCACUAUCAACCAAGAUGGAAAAUUUGCUCCAUUGGAUUGACCAGAGGGCCAAGUUCAAAGAAGAUCAAAGGGCCAUUGAGACAGCACACAAAUAUCAAUCUACUUCGAGUCAACCCAAUAGCAAAGGUAUGAAUUCAGGUAAUACUUUCAAGCAACUUUCAUUAAAAGAGAUAAUUGCUCAACAAAUAAAAAUUAAUGAUGAAGUUAAACAAAGGCUAGACACAAAUGAAUCAUCUCAAAAAGAUAUACACAAUAAAAUGGAUUUUCUAUUAACUACCUUUGAUGAGCAAAACACUCUUAAUAAAAGGGUAGAGCUUAAAUUAAUAAAGAUAGCUGCUGCACUGCCUGUUGCUACUAACAUUGAGCAGGUAAAGAAUAUAACUACUAGAGGAGGCAAAGCCACCAGGGAUCCCCCAUACCCAAAAGAGAAACAAAGAACAUCAGCACCAGUGCAACCAGCAGUGAUAGAAGAAGAAAGCCCAGUUGAAGCAGAAGACCUGCUGCAACCACCAAGAACUAGAGAAUUGAGGAAAGAUUUUUACGACACCAACUAUUUGGCAUUUCCUAGAAGAAAUAGAGACUGCAGUCGGAUGAGCAGUUUGGUAAGUUUGUUGAGGUCAUUCAGAAAUUAUAUGUCAACAUACCUCUACUUGAUGCCAUACAGGUACCUACAUAUGCAAAGUGCAUCAGAGAUAUUCUUUACAAGAAGAGACCACUGCCCACCACUGAGGUUAUCAAGCUGACAGAAGAAUGUAGUGCGGCCAUCCUCAAUAAACCACCAAGAAAGAAGAAGGAUACCGGAUGUCCCACUAUUGAUUGCUCGAUCAGAAACUAACACUUCAACAAUGCACUUUGUGAUCUUGGAGCCAGUGUCAGUGUGAUGCCAGCAUCAGUCUACAAAAAGCUUGAGCAUACGACCCUAGAACCAACAUCAAUGUGCCUGCAACUAGCAGAUCAAUCGGUUCGACACCCAUUGGGCAUCGCCGAAAACAUUCCAGUCAAGAUCAGAGAUUUCCUGGUGCUAGUAGACUUCAUGGUACUGGACAUGAGUCCUGACUCCAAAGUGUCCAUCAUUGGAAGGCCAUUUCUGAGCACUGCCAAUGCCCACAUUGAUGUCGGGAAAGGAGAAAUCAAGUUCAACAUAAACGGAAAAGAAGAACACUUCACAUUCAAACCCAGACCAGAGAGAGACCCUACAGUGAAGGAAGUUCAUGAAGAACCACUGGAGACACCAUCUCUGGAGGAAGGUAAUUCAGAAGAUUAAAAGAUUUGGAGGUCCAGCUUGGGGGACCUAAAAAUCCCAAACCCUCACCGGGAGGUAAAUCGGUAUUUAUCCACAUUAUUAAUUCUUUCAUAAUUAAUUCUUGCAUUAGUCAUAUUUAUUCAUAGCAUUACUAUAAUAAUAAAAAUCCCCAUAUAAAUAAUAUUUAUGGUGUGUAACAACCCAUAUUUAUUAAUUAUUGUGGAGGCACAAAAAUAUUUUCCAGUAUCAUUUCAAAUAAGUUUCCAUUCUCAUGGAUUUUCUUGCAUUAUAUUAUAGCAACCUUUUAGAAGCAUGACCCACACUCCUUGGGUCCCACAUGUCAUACACCACUCCUCACACACAUCGCAUCACAUUAUUUGAUCCACCAGCAUAACUCCACUCACCAGCACUUUUCCACCGGCCAACCACCACCCAUGAUCUAUUAUUUUGCGUAAGAGUUAAGCAAAGGAGGGAGUGGAGAAAGGGCAGCCAGAAUGGGCACCACAAGUGGUCGCCCGCUGUUGACACUAGCUAACACCACUUGAAUACUAGGUUGUCAUCCCCAGCAUGGUGCCAAAGUGUACAAAGGUAUUUAUAAAUGUAAAGGCUCUCUAGAAAAUAAUCUAUUCUAUCCGCAAGCGCACAGAUAAAACACCUCAUUGUAGCAUUUCACCAGGAUAAGUAUUCCAAGUAUCGUUAUUUAUAAUUUUGCUUAAGAGGACAAGGGAUGAAAUUAAGAUAAGGACAAAAUCUAUCAAGGCAUAGACUAGAGAUUUCCUUGCAAGAACAUGAUUACUAAUGAGAAACUCGUCACACAGUCACUUACUUUGGCAGGGGGUAAACCAUAAAGAUAAUGAUAAUGAAUUAUAAGUUCAUGGGUAAAUAUCACAGCGAUUAGAAAAUAGACUACUCCUCAUAUAUGUAGGUGACGUCGGAUUAGCUAUAGAAUGGAUUCUAAGUUAUCUACUACCUACUAAGUCAUAAUCUACUCUAGUUAUCUACAAGAUCAUGUAUAGCAUAAAAGACUCUUCAUUCAUGUAUAAGGAAAAUUGCUAAAGUAAAUCAGAACAUCGCAAGACUUACUCCGCAAUACAAGUUCUGCCUGUCCUAUCAACGGAGGGUGGACUAUAUAAGAAUCAACGAAGCAGUCACUAUCGCGAACUACCACACGACCCGGCCAAUAGGAUACAUUUGCAGGUAAAUAACAUCUAAGCACCACGCCCACAUGUGAUAUACCACUUAACUCCCUCGCGUCAAGAGCUAAGCGCUUUGCAAACUUAUACAUAAACUCAUUAUCAAUCAUAACUAUAUCAAAUAUAGAACUAGAGCAAACUAAGAGCAUAAUAAAUAGAGACAUAAUGCAAUUAGAACAAAGUACUAGAGAAAGAUAUGAAUAAUACCAAUCUUUAUUACCGAAGAUCCGAAUCUAGAGCGUAGCACUCUACUUCUCUAAUUGCUAUCUAAUCAAACCUCUAAACUUGAAGGAUUAGGGAGUAGCUAAUUCUAAUUCUCUAUGGGAGAGAAGUUCUAAACCCUAACUUUGAUGCCUACCUCUGAUAAUGAUUUCUCCUCUUCUCUUCUCCCGCCCAGGGGUGGAGAGGCCUUGGUUAUAUAGUCCUUUCAAGUGAAUUUGUAUCAUUGGAUCAAACCGACAUUGAUUGUAUGAUUUAGAUUCAUCCUUUAGAUCGGUGGAGUUUAGUCCCGAAAGAGUGUCCUGAUUGGACUCUAACCCUGGGCGGGCGCCCAUGGGGGGUGGGCGGGCGUCCUGCCCCCGAGCCCGAUCGUCUUCUCGUUCAUUCCCGUGGCUUCUGGACUCUUCUAGAUUGAGGAAAAUUGCACGACAUGUAAUUAUCUCGUUGUAAACAUGACAUGUGGGCCUUCUCUCCAUAUUCUCUGAUGACCCCAUGCAGAAAUAGAUAAACACCAAAGCUCGUGGAAUUCUGUCGGAUAAAACCCUAAUUCUAGAUGUUUGGUGCAUAUUGAUCCUUUUCCAUGUUUAAUUGAUGGUUAAUUUUAGUACUUAAGGACCGUCAACAAACUCCCCCAAGCUUACCCUUUGCUCGUCCCUGAGCAAACAGCUAAACUCAGACGGAUCAGGAAUUGCUUCGAUGUUUUCUUUCCUUACAGGCACACAUGCUUUUAUAAAAUUCUUCCAGAUUAGAGUGAAGUGUUAUGGAACUUAGUACCUGCACUUAAGUCUUAAGUAAUCGAAAGACAAAAUAAUUAAGUCAAGCACUAUUCCUCCUGUCUAUACUUCACCUUUGUUCCGGAGUUUUGCAUAAGUUUUCAAAAUAAAACUCAGAGUUCCCAGCAAUGAUUAUCUCAAGUCUCUCUAUAUAUGGUAUUUGUGGAUCCUUACCAAAAUGUCACUUACCUAUAGCUAAUGGAAUAUUUAAGUGGAGCUCAUAGGAGUGAAAAACAGCUCAUACAUAUGUUGUCUAAUCGAGCCAUGGAUCCAAAGGAACUCAACAUAUAAUUAAAUCAAGAUGUGCAUGUGUGGUGGAGUAAAUGAUAGUAAUGGUGAAAAUAUAGUUAAUGAUAAAGCUUACUUCUCAUUGCUCCUCAUAUUGCUAUCUCUCCUCUCCUUUGAUCUUUUCUUUGGGAGAACAUGGGCUAUCUUUUUUCUUUUUUUCAGGUGGGUAGUAGACACCCCUAAUUCUACUGUCGGACACUUGUCCAUUUUUUCCGCUCAAGUGGGCAUCUUUGUACCCCUAAUUCUACUCCGGACACUUGUCCAUUUUUACCUCUCAUCUCACUCUUUUUCUUUCUUUUCCGAGGUUUCGGGCACUUGCCCCUUUUUAUUUCCUCACAUAUUUUUGCAUAACCCAUGCCUCUUCUGCAUUGAAUCUUUUUAGAGAGAGAGAAUAACAAUAUUUGGGACAGUGAGUGAUAAUAUUUUUAGCAAUUUUAAUAAUUGAUGGUGGAUGGUGUAGUAGAUGUGUGCAAGUGAAUAUCUUAAUUUAACCACAUGAAAAGCUCCUAAGGGUCUACACAACUCGAUCAAACUCAAUGUAAAUAUUGUAAAAGAUGUUAUAAGUAUGGUUGUGGUAGGUAGUUGGUAAUGCUAGGAACUCAUCAUGUGAUUUGUAAGUUUUUAAAAUAAAUCUCCAGAACUUAGUGUAGUAGGAACAAGAUAAACAGUAGCUCAAACUUUAUAUUAUGUUCUUCUCUUACCUGGACUUUAGUUUUAUGCUUCCCAUAGAUAGUAAUUUUAGUUUUAGUAAUUCCUGGAAGAACUCUAAUAUAGAAGCUAGGUACUUGUAAGUAAGCAAACAGAGCAACUGUUCAUCAUUUCCAUCAUGAAUCUUUUUGGUCUUUUUAUUUUUCUAGAGAUUAACGCUUAGCAAAAAAUAAAGCACACUUAUCUACACACUCUUUUUAUUUUGUUUUCAUGUUUAUAAAAUGCAGUAAAUUAAAGCAAGAAAAUAUUUAUUGGGUUUUCUAAGUUUUUCUCUUUAAGAUAAAUAAAACACUAAAAUAGAAAAGAAUUAAUAAGAAGAGCAAAUAAAAACUUCUUGAUAAAUAGGGGAGGAACUCCCCCAAGCUGGAUGUUGAUGUCGAUCUUGCCCGAUGUUCUAGAACCGCAUCAUGGUUGUGAUGUUGUCGUUCAUUGUUGUUAUAUCUUGUCUCAGCUCUUGUACUGCAGUGGUGUGGUCCUGGUUCCAUUUCUGCUGUUCUUCCAGGAGUCAUCCAUGUUCUACUUGCGUGUUCUGGAUGUCGAGGAGGGUGUUGUCGGUACGGGUGAAGAAACCGCCAGCCUCUUGGUAGUAGUCAUUCGUGAAAGCGUAGGAGGCGUCGGAGUAUCGUCCUGCAUCGAAUUGGGGCAGAGGUCUGGAUCCUGAAGCUCCAUAUGGAUCAGUGGAGUACCUGCCCAUAUGAAAAGGCGGGUUUGUCCACUGGUGAUCUUGGCUCUCCGGCCAUGUCUCCUGUGUUGGCUCUUGUGGUUGCGCAUGUCGAACCCAUGGGUCUCGAAGGACUCGGGGGUUGUAGUCGCUAUAAUGCAGGUGCGCUGCUUCUUCCGGCCCGGGAUCAGCUCCAUACUGUUGACGGUCCUUAAAUAUCAAAUUUAAUUAUCAAAUAAAUAAAGAAAAGGAUCCAAAUGAAAUCAACAUCUAGACUUAGGGUUUUAUCUGACAGAAUUCCACGAGUUUUGGUGUUUGUCUAUUUCUGCAGGGGGUUAUCAGGAAAUAAGGAAGAAAAGCCCACAUGUCAGGAUUACAUAGAGAUAUCAACCCACCGCGCAAUUUUCUACCAUCUAGAAGACUCCAGAAGCCACGGGAAGGAAGCGGAGCCCGAAAGGGGCCAGGCCCAGGGCGCCCGCCCUGAGGACCUGGGCGCCCGCCCCCCUCUGGACUCCGUUCCGGACUCUCUUCGCACACGACGUUCCACCGACCUAUUGGAUCCAGAAUAACAUAGUACCACCUCGCCUAUCGACCCAAAAACGCAUAGAAGGGGAGGACUAUAUAAGGAGACCCCCUCUGGCUCCUGGAGAAGACAAGAAAUUAUCAUAGAGAUUGAGGGGUGCCCUCGAAGGAAAACCUCUUCUCUAAAUAAUAUUUCUUUUUAGGCUUAGCAACCAAUGUAAAGUAGAAAUAGAUCUUCUAGUUUCUACUAGAUUGAGAGAGAUAGAGUGGAGGUGUGGAUCGGAGGAAGGCCGGCCUGUCAGUGUCUACUCUGAGUUGUACCUACGGGAUCAAGUCUCCUAACCCGAGGCUUGCUUCUAAGAUUCUUCAGUAAUUCGACUUCUAAUACUAGUAAGUUCUUGUUUUAUUGUUCUUUGGUUUAUGAGUUUACUUUAGUCCUCUUCCGGUUGAGUAUUAGAGUAAUCACUUGCUAGCGUAAACGUGGUGUUUAGGCUAGGGUACUCAUAGAUAUCCCCUGACUAGCUGGACCGUGGUAGUAGCGAGGAACGUGACAUUUCCGAGUUACCUUUGUAGAUCACAUCUCGUUAGCAGGACGGGUAGGGUUAUAGGUGCGGGUCGAACAUCCUUUGUGUUGUUUAGAUUCCGUGAGCCUCCCCAAUAGAACAGUAGAUUAUCCUUACCAAGGUUAGAACGAGACUACGGUUGCUGUCUUCUCUAUACAUCACUCACAUCGAGAGACAUUCUUUGUAGCCUAAAGGGGUAAUAGCAAUAGAUUUGGUUAGUCAGAUGCACCCUUUCUCCCAGUGGUAAAAAUAUAAAUACGAUAACUCUAGAAAACCUCCCGGGUGAAAUGCUCACCGAUAUCCGUGCGCUUGCGGAUCAUUUUCUAAUUGCGUUACCAAAUAUCAACAAGCAUUUCUGGCGCCGUUGCCGGGGAGAAAGACGGUUUGCUGAGAUAACUUUGAGUCUUGCUAUUAUCUUGUAUUAUACUUUUAUACUUUUAUUCUUUUAUCUUUUUAUUUUUAUCUUUAUGGAUAACUCAAAUUCCAUACCUAUUAUUAAAUUCUUUGCACCUUCGGAGACCAGCCAUAGAACAUGGGAGUCAACACGUCCUGCCCCUAAUUAUGAUCUGUGUCCGGAGUUGAUUGCAAUAGGUCAAAACCAACCCUUUUCUAUAGCCGAGGUCCUAUCUUUUAAUCAAAAAGAUAAUGCACUUUUAGCUACACCUAGGGAAUCUAUUAAUCUUUUUAUAAAUUCUGGUUUAGACCUAGCCCUACAAGACCAUGUUUUUCCUAGAUAUUUUCACAUUGGUCUUAAUCAUAUAACCUUUGGUAGAGUCAUUUUUUCUUUAUCUAUUAGUAAAGGAAGGUAUGUCUUCAUUUGUGGACAUCCUUCUUGUACUAGUCUUCAUAGAAUAAUCUUAGAGAUACAGAAGGAAUCAUCUCCCAGACGAGGAAAGGAAGUUUCAAUAGCCGAUUUCCAAACAUUUCAAUCCCAUGAUUCGGCUAUCCAUCCCAUCCUUGAGCUUAAUAAAUUCUACUAUGCUCUUUUUCUUAAACCUCCCGAUAAUCCUAUGAAUUUCUCUAGACAUCCCAUGCAUAAGAAGGAGGAUCGAGAAGAGCAACAUCAAUGGCUAGAGGGCAUUAAAAAUCCAUGUGCUAUCACCAUUGAAUGGAUAGAUAAAACAAACUUGAGAGACAAUCCUAGAGGAAUUUUAAGCAUUCAUGAAGAAUCAUCCUUGGAGUUUGAGAAUGAGAGAAACAACAGUGAGCAUGGAAGUUAUUUCAUAAAUACCUUACCCAGUCCUUGCUCAUAUAAAACAUCUCUCCAAUCAAUUAGUCUCUCCAUCCUUAUCACAUUUGAGAUCUCCAACCCUCUCUUCCUUUCUAUUUAUAAAACUUUAAAAGAGCGGUUGUCGAUGCAUAUGUCUAUAAUAAAUAUUGCAGAUCUCGAUAUAGGUCAGCGUUGGAGGGGAAACCACUUCACUGACAUAAAUUGAUGGUUUCCCAAAGCUUAGCGUCCUUAAACAAGCACUUAUCAGAUCGUAACAUGAACUUCUAAUUAUUUGCAACAUUGCCUUGUGUAUUGAGCAUAUGAGAUAAUUAUAGAAAUAUUCCUUCGGGUAUUCGUGUCACUAACCUUUCUAGGAUUGGAGCAAGAAGAUCUGAGGAAUAACAAGCACAAGGUAUGUCCAACCAAUCAUCAUGCAACAUUGAAUUAAAUUCAUCAAAACUUGAAUUUUGUAAAAUUCAAGCUUGGGGGAGUACUUUACAUAAAAACAUCUUUUGCCAUGUUGCUACGUUGGUUGUCCUUACCUUUGAGACAUGCUCAAUUUGUUAAAUACUAAUCACGCUACUUCAUCUCCACUUAAGUAGAUCUUUAUAAGCCAUCAUGCUACCUUUGUUUAUCCUAGUAAGUGUUAGUUUGGAAGUACUGUACAUACUUCUAUUGGCUUUUAAAUUAAGCGUGGUGCUUAGGUUAAAUAGCCUCCCUUAAUUUGAUUAGACAUGGAGUCUAGUUUGGUUACUGAACUAAAAACUGCUUGAGUAGGCCUUGGUAUAUUUUGUCGGAUUAACCCCUACAGGAAAACAUUCAAUAUCAACUUGGGAAGUCCUGAGAUAAACUCACAUUGGAGAUGAAGAAAGUGACACAUGAAGUUUAACAAUUUGCACAAGGAAGACAUAGCUCAUUCAUCAUAAGAGAUGAUCCAUGGAGGGUGCCACAAACACGAUGCACAACCGCUAAGAAAGGAAAGCUUCUACAAGGUGAUACUGUACCGCCACUCUUCAAGUAAGGUAACAUUCUAAGGUACUUGACUAUCGCUUUUAUAAGCUUCUCCUUGGUUGUAGUAUUCACAUAAAUAAAGAGACAAACAUGUAUGAUUUAUAACUCCAAACUUAAUUAAUUCAACAUGUUUAGUCCUUUAAUCUUUGUUCUUAGUACUACCUUCGUGAUCCCACGCACCUAAACAUAUAAGCUAAUAUGUUGCACAUUCAAUCUUUGGAAGAUAUAAACAAAACAUAAAUAUAGAUAGAUUAUCUUUCCAUUAGGUUGAGCCAUCUGAUCUAACACAUGUUUUAAAUGCUACGAUCCAUCAACUUUGUCUUGCUCACUAUGCUUAAGGUUAGAGAAAAACAAAUACACUUUUGGUUUUGUUGGUGUUUUCCACCAACAGAGCCCAUGCACUUGAUCUCUGCCUUGUCUCUAUGAGCAGGACACAUUUUGAGAAACGUGAAGGCAUUUUACAACUCCCAGAUUCCAUCAAGUGAAGAACCGGGAUCUACGAGCAUAAACACAAUGGAGAUCAGACACUUAGUUUCCCAAAGGAAAUAUUGAAGAACCUCUGUGUCCAAGUUGGUACCUUGUACACUCCAGCAAACUUCGUGGUGAUAGAGACUGGCACUGAGGAGAGGGCACCCAUCAUCUUAGGGAGGCCAUUCCUAAACACCAGAAGUGUCAUCUACGCUAAUGCUGCCAAGAUCAGUUUCUACAUCAAGGGGAAGAAGGAGAUUUUCCUUCAAGAACAAGACUACACAAACUACAGAGCAACCCCGACAUCAACCAAGAAAGAGGACCAACAGGAGGAAACAAGAACAAGCAAAUGUGGAUAGAGUUAGCUAAGAUGGUCACUGCAGUUCAAGGAGGUCAAGAUCGUCGACUCAAGUCACCUUUCUUGAUCAAGAAGGACGACCCUGGUGUUCCAAGAAUCGAAUGCACAAACAAUGGAUACUCUUUUUAGAAGACAAUCUACGACACCGGAUCUGACGACAACAUAAUGGCCGUAGUCACUUAUCAGCUCCUGCAUGGAACCAUGCCCCUACAACCAAUAUAUUCAACUCCAGAUGAUUUUCAGGUCAUUGACAUGGGAGAAUACGAGUAUGAUCCACCCACCAUCCUUGGAAGACCGUUCCUCAACACUAUCAAAGUUAUCAUCUACAUUGGAACCGGAGAAGUCCACAUGCACUUCCCCUCUGAGAAGGUACGCCGCUAUUUUAUUGACCCUAACUAUAUAGUUGAAGAUUCUAAGCAGGUCAGGACAAGAAGAAGACAAACCGCAACCAGAGGAGGCAAAUCGGACGGAUGGGUAGACUACGAAGGAGAAGUGAUAAGGACUGAAGACAUACAACUUGAACAGAACUGUCCUGAGGAGACCGUAGCACCGAGUCAGGUGUGGAAAGAGAAGAUAGUUAUACACGAAGAGGAGGCGCCGCCGGAACCACCGACUACGCCACCCAGCAAAUCCCAGGACGAAUAAGAAAACGGAGAGUCCCGUUCGGAGGACUUAAAAAUACCGAGCGCCUUGCCAAGAGGUAAACUUGGUAGUUAUCCUUUCCCUUUUAAUUAUUUUAAAUAGUUUACUUAGUUAAUCAUAUUCAUACUAUCUUAAAAAUAAAAGAAAAUAAAAAUAUGAAAAACAGUAAGCCCCAUGUGAGUAUACGAGUGGCAUAAAACCCAUAAGUACAUUCACUGUGGUGGCAUAAAAAUAAAAUAAAUAUUUUUCUGCUUUAUAAAAACAAAAAUAUAAAAACAGGGAGUAAUAUUUAUUAAGGAGUCUCAACAUGAUAAAGGCUAGAUAUUUAUGCUAACACUUAAUCAGUUCCACAAGCUUUGUUGUCUAUUUGAGCUCCACAGAAUUUAAGAAUCAAGAAGACUAGCAGACGGAGGACAUUCUAAUCACUGUCAAAAUACUGCUGACUUUCAAACACACCUCUGCCACCUGCUAGCUACAUCAAGAGAAAUUACGUCAAAAUUCAGCUUGGGGGAGAGCACCCCCAUUUAUCUCGAUAAGUAUUUCUAUCUAUCUUUAUACUUAUACUAUAUUAGAAUAUAAAUACACAUAACUAUAAAAAACCAAAUAAAGAUUUUAUGCUUAUAUAUAUUUUGCUUAGUGUGUUUAAUAAAGUGGCUAUGCUAAUCUGAAUCUUAAUAAUAAAACUUAAGCAUGGAUAUGAUGAAUAGUUGCUCUGCCUAAUUUGCAAAUUUGAAGUUCUCUCUCGAGUGUAGAUAUAACUGUUAUAAUUUAAGGCUUGCUCUAGACCUAAACUUGUGGGAUAAAAACUUGAUCUGAAGUCUAAGUUGUUAACGGAUACGAUAUGGGAAGGUUGAGCUGCUGUUUAUCUGUUCCUAGAGAUGCUAGAAUUCUGGAGAAUUUUAUCUUUAAAAAUCUUUAAAAUAACACAUGAUGAGUUCCUAUAUGAUGAGAGUUUAAAUUCCUACCACAGCCAUAUAUACAUGCUUGCUAGACUUUGAGCCACAUAUUUACUUUUUACUGCUUAUGAGCAUUGAGUGUGGUCAAGCUGUGUAGACCCUUAGGAGCUUGUCAUGUGGUUAAAUCAAGAUUCACUUGCACGUUCAGUCAUACAUGCUACUUCUACUCCGGAAGUACCAUCCACAUAUAUCCACUCAUUUCCAUCUCCACAUUCACCCAAAAAUUAUUCUACUCCUAAUCCGGGAGAGAAUAGCCAAAAAUAUUAUCCUAUCCCUGUUAUUCCCUGUAAAAUAAAUGCUCGAGUUAUCCUGGUUACUACCACUUGCUAUAUUAUUUCAGGAGAUGAGUGCUCUAAAAAAAGAAAGAAAAGAAAAAAAAAGAGAGAUACGAGGAAAUAAAAAGGAGCAAGUGCUCGAAACCUCGAAAGAAAAGAAAAAGUGAGACGAGAGGUAAAAAUGGACAAGUGUCCGACAGUAGAAUUAGGGGUGCAAGAUACCCACCUGAGAAAAAAAAAGAAGAGCAUCUCAUUCUCCUCAUAAAGUUUCAAAAGCAAGGAAGGUAUGUAUCCCCUCAAAGAGCAAAGUAGAAUUAGACUUCCACCACCAUUGUUAUCACCAUCAUCACCAUACACCAUUCAUUCGCCACACAUGCACAUCUUUAUUUGGCUUAUUGAUUUGUUUCUUUGGAUCCAUGGUUUGACUAUGCAAUAAAUGUCUUGUAAGUAUGUAUGCUUUAUCUCCCACCUAUGAGCUCCAGAUAUUAAAGCCUUAUUAGAGUAGGGUGAGAGAGAAGACAAUGUCACUAUGCUUCAUACCACAAAUACUACAUAUCUUGAGAGAAGGCAUAUACCAUCACUGCCUUGGUAAGGAUCCAAAAAUACCACAAAAGAGAGACCUGAGAGAAUCAUACAAGGAAUCUCUGAGUUUUAUUUGAAAAUCUGCAAAAAAACCCCAGAGCUAUAGCUGAUCAAGAAUGAGAGACAUGGCACUUGACUAGACUGUUCUAUCUUUUAACCACUCAAGACAGAAGUGACGGUUACAAGUCCCAUGGUGAAGGUAAAGUAAGUAAGUUUUAAGUCUUGACAGUUUACUCUAACCCAGA